ACCCGUCAUCAUCAAUGGAAAGUUUUCCUGAGUGCAGACUUUGUCCCUGUAUUUCCAAGGUGCAGAUCUCCCCAGUGGUGCUGUUUUAUGAUGUGUUUUUAUCACUCCAUCUCUAAUGUCUUUCACCGUACGGGGAGAACAGAAAUGAAAAGAAAAACGCAGACACAGGAAAGGUGGCAAUUUAGGGACUGUGCAUCUGUGUGACAGGCAUCCUUAGGGAGAAGAAAGAAAAACAUUUAGGAAGUUCUGUACAACCACUGCUCGACUACAAGACCACCCCACUGCAGGUCUUUACACGGAGAGGAGAGAUUUUAAAUUUGUAUGAGGAAGUCAUAAUGUUGAUACCAAUGGACACCCUUAAGAAAAGCCUACCAGUGUCAGAUUACUUCAAGCUACAUGCAUUAAGGUUUCUUGCUCCUGCUCCAGCCUUGAGGAGAGGUCAGUGACCACCCUGUGUCUGGAGGGGCAGUUGGUCAGACAGUAUGAACCCCGUAAUGCAGGGCUGACUGAUCAAAACCUGAAUAAGCCACUCUUACCCCAUACUGAGGCUCCCAGAUGAGAGAAGGCAGAGCCACAAGAGCAAGCUUUGCAGAAGACAGCUCAGUUUUGCCAGCAGCAGCCCAGCACACAGACAGCUCUGGUCUUGGCCGAAUCCUGCUCUGCUUCCCUGCAGUGCAUGGAGGUCUCCUGGCUGUAGUCCCCAGUGCUCCUGGGGGCUGCUUCUGCUCCUCACAGCACUACCACGGGUAUCCCUACAAGCCUGGCACAGUUAAUCUGCCACCUGAUUCAUUGCCUUGUGGAUACUCAAGAGCUGAGUGUAAUAUAAUGCCAUCUUUAUAAAAAAGGAUUUUCUCACUUUUUCCCUUUUUAUAGUAUGAGAGUGACAUAUUUGUUCCAUUUCUCUUAGGUAAAGGAGUCUUAGCCUGCUGCACUCAACUUUCUAAUU
Anas platyrhynchos (mallard) is the source of this 946-nucleotide non-coding RNA. NCBI's taxonomy places the organism in Eukaryota, Metazoa, Chordata, Aves, Anseriformes, Anatidae. The record is from RefSeq and is a predicted model, not a curated record.